AUUGAACGCUGGCGGCAGGCCUAACACAUGCAAGUCGAGCGAGCGGCGGACGGGUGAGUAAUGUAUGGGGACUGCCCGAUAGAGGGGGAUAACUACUGGAAACGGUAGCUAAUACCGCAUACUAUCGGAUAACCCAUAUGGGAGGAGCUAGUAGGUGAGGUAAUGGCUCACCUAGGCGACGAUCCCUAGCUGGUCUGAGAGGAUGAUCCGCAACACUGGGACUGGGACACGGCCCUGCUUCCUACGGAGGAAGCAGUGGGGAAUAUUGCACAAUGGGCGCAUGCUUGAUGCAGCCAUGCCGCGUGGAUGAAGAAGGCCCUAGGGUUGUAAGGUACUUUAAGUCGGGAGGCGUUACCGACAGAAGAAGCGCCGGCUAACUCCGUGCCAGCAGCCGCGGUAAUAC
This 403-nucleotide ribosomal RNA is filed under the name uncultured bacterium. Its description in RNAcentral is "partial 16S ribosomal RNA". It matches the Rfam family "Bacterial small subunit ribosomal RNA", at positions 30 to 526 of the family's 1533-position model. The record is from RNAcentral.